Antechinus flavipes (yellow-footed antechinus) is the source of this 1764-nucleotide long non-coding RNA. RefSeq lists it as uncharacterized. NCBI's taxonomy places the organism in Eukaryota, Metazoa, Chordata, Mammalia, Dasyuromorphia, Dasyuridae. The transcript is spliced from 2 exons. The record is from RefSeq and is a predicted model, not a curated record.
CAUAGUGGACACUAAAAAUGUUUAUUUAUUUCUCUCCUCCAUAAUGCCCUCUCUUGUAGGAAAAAUAGACUAUAUGCUUUUUGUGCAUUAGAAAAAUACAUGCUCUAAGUAUUUAUGUUCUCUUCAUACUGUUAACUUAAAAAGAAACCUUCUGCAUCUAAAGGAAUGGGGUGAUGUUAUUUUCAGAAAAAAUAGAAUAUUAUUUCCAAUGUCAAAGCCGAGUCGGCCACUGGCUUUGAUUUUCUAAAAAAACUACUUCUCUACAUACGUCUCUCUUCAAAGGAAAAAAAAAAAAUGAAGGAGUACACAUUUCUAUAAGCCUUCAAAUUUGUGUGGUAUUGCUUUGUCUUCUUGAGCCCUUAGAGCUUGCAAAACAAAACAAAAGCCCCAUCCUUAUUUUUUCUGAAAAGCAUACAUAUUUUUCCAGGAGAUAUUUGUGCUGCUUUCAUUAUGUUCUUUUCAGUCAAUUUUUCUUUCUUUUUUUUUUUUUAAAACUUAAGUGCUGUAAGAGUCAAAGGACAUAGGUCACAUUCAGUGCAACCAGGAGCUAAUGUUUGAGCGCCCCGGAAGUAACUUCUGUGAGCAGGAAGAGACCGCACCAUGGGCGGGACUCUAGCCAUAUUGAGGGAGCUUCCUAAUGGAAGACAUCUCCCACCCUGAUUGGCUGUGCAUGUGACCUCACAGACCCUCUUUAAGCUCUAUGAAGGAGGAAGUCUGUCUUUUUAACCUGGGAGUAGCGGAGAGGUUGGAGGCAGAUUGUGAACACGUGGGUCUCUGCUAACCUGGUCACGUGGGAGUGAACAAGCGGUCAGGGCAGGAUGUGAACACACGUAAAUAAAAGACUUUAAGCUUGCUUCUAGCUGUUCUUGAGUGUGCUGCCAGUUUUUAAACUACAGUUUAUGAAACUGUAGCCAGAGACCUCAGAACGAGUUGCUUAAUUGAUAUCUUGAGGACUUCAUGAGGCUCAUACUCGGACUCAGAUGCCAUAACUUUGACAAAUAUUUAAUAGAUAGAUAGAAAGACAUAUUUUAUUGUAUUUAUAAGCUGAGUGAGAUUAGCAAAUGAGAUCCAAAAAAGCAGAUGAAACUUUAAAUAAAAAGUUUAAUGGCUUUUAAAAACACCCCACAUAAUAUACCUAUGCUUAAAUAAAUACAAUCAUCAUUCAUUUUUUCCCUGUCUGCCCAUUGUUCUUCAUUAUUUUUAAAACUGUGGUUACUUCUACUCAUCCUCCCCCUUUUCUAGAUAGUUUCCUAUCUUGUAGAGAAAAUCGUAUCAAAACACACAUUCAUCUAAAGUGAUGGUGAUCCCUCUGUAAUAGACAUAGAACAAAACAGUAGUAGGAGGUACCUGAAAAUGCAUUUCUUUCUAUAGCAAUGGCUUUUUAAAUGCCCCAGAGUGGGCAGUAGAUCACAGAGAAUCACUUCUUAUCAAUAAUUUCAUUUUCAGAAAAAGACUGAAUAUACUUUCAUUUGUGGAAAACUUAAACUAGAAAUCAUCCCAUGUUCAAAAAGUACAGAAGUAUCUUGAUAUUUGUCAAUUGUUUUCAGAAGACAUGACAAGUUUUGAAAAGGAUGAGAACCAAACAAAAUUUUCUCCUAAGGAUUAUAUCUCCAAUCUGUACCCUGUUCCUCUUCACCCAAUUCUCCAAAGGGGCAAAUGGGGCUUCUAACUUGAGAGAAACAAGCAAGCCCAGCUCAGCCUAGCUGUACAAGUUUCUUUCUUUCUUUCUUUCUUUUUUUUAAUUAAAGCUUUUUAUUCACAAAA